GAUGAACGCUGGCGGCGUGCCUAAUACAUGCAAGUCGAGCGAACAGAUGAGGAGCUUGCUCCUCUGACGUUAGCGGCGGACGGGUGAGUAACACGUGGAUAACCUACCUAUAAGACUGGGAUAACUUCGGGAAACCGGAGCUAAUACCGGAUAAUAUAUUGAACCGCAUGGUUCAAUAGUGAAAGACGGUUCUGCUGUCACUUAUAGAUGGAUCCGCGCCGCAUUAGCUAGUUGGUAAGGUAACGGCUUACCAAGGCAACGAUGCGUAGCCGACCUGAGAGGGUGAUCGGCCACACUGGAACUGAGACACGGUCCAGACUACUACGGGAGGCAGCAGUAGGGAAUCUUCCGCAAUGGGGGAAAGCCUGACGGAGCAACGCCGCGUGAGUGAUGAAGGUCUUCGGAUCGUAAAACUCUGUUAUUAGGGAAGAACAAAUGUGUAAGUAACUAUGCACGUCUUGACGGUACCUAAUCAGAAAGCCACGGCUAACUACGUG
This 497-nucleotide ribosomal RNA is filed under the name uncultured bacterium. RNAcentral describes it as "partial 16S ribosomal RNA". It matches the Rfam family "Bacterial small subunit ribosomal RNA", at positions 28 to 507 of the family's 1533-position model. The record is from RNAcentral.